This 74-nucleotide transfer RNA is filed under the name Hydrogenophilaceae bacterium. RNAcentral describes it as "tRNA-Gly". It matches the Rfam family "tRNA". Rfam says of the family: Transfer RNA (tRNA) molecules are approximately 80 nucleotides in length. The record is from RNAcentral. Lineage: Bacteria; Pseudomonadati; Pseudomonadota; Hydrogenophilia; Hydrogenophilales; Hydrogenophilaceae.
GCGGGUAUAGCUCAAUGGUAGAGCUCUAGUCUUCCAAACUAGCGACACGGGUUCGAUUCCCGUUACCCGCUCCA